This 1454-nucleotide ribosomal RNA is filed under the name uncultured Gammaproteobacteria bacterium. Its description in RNAcentral is "bacterial SSU rRNA". It matches the Rfam family "Bacterial small subunit ribosomal RNA". Lineage: Bacteria; Pseudomonadati; Pseudomonadota; Gammaproteobacteria. The record is from RNAcentral.
AUUGAACGCUGGCGGCAGGCCUAACACAUGCAAGUCGAGCGCGAAAAGCCUUCGGGCUGAGUAAAGCGGCGGACGGGUGAGUAACGCGUAGGAAUCUACCUGGUAGUGGGGGACAACUUGGGGAAACUCAAGCUAAUACCGCAUACGCCCUAAGGGGGAAAGCGGGGGACCUUCGGGCCUCGCGCUAUCGGAUGAGCCUGCGUAGGAUUAGCUAGUUGGUGGGGUAAAGGCCCACCAAGGCGACGAUCCUUAGCUGGUCUGAGAGGAUGAUCAGCCACACUGGAACUGAGACACGGUCCAGACUCCUACGGGAGGCAGCAGUGGGGAAUAUUGCGCAAUGGGCGAAAGCCUGACGCAGCCAUGCCGCGUGUGUGAAGAAGGCCUUAGGGUUGUAAAGCACUUUCAAUUGGGAAGAAAAGUUUGUCGUUAAUAGCGCCAAGCUCUGACAUUACCUUUAGAAGAAGCACCGGCUAACUCCGUGCCAGCAGCCGCGGUAAUACGGAGGGUGCGAGCGUUAAUCGGAAUUACUGGGCGUAAAGCGCGCGUAGGUGGUUUGUUAAGUUGGAUGUGAAAGCCCUGGGCUCAACCUAGGAACUGCAUCCAAAACUAACUCACUAGAGUACGAUAGAGGGAGGUAGAAUUCAUAGUGUAGCGGUGGAAUGCGUAGAUAUUAUGAAGAAUACCAGUGGCGAAGGCGGCCUCCUGGAUCUGUACUGACACUGAGGUGCGAAAGCGUGGGUAGCGAACAGGAUUAGAUACCCUGGUAGUCCACGCCGUAAACGAUGACAACUAGCUGUUAGGAGACUAUGUCUUUUAGUGGCGCAGCUAACGUUUUAAGUUGUCCGCCUGGGGAGUACGGCCGCAAGGCUAAAACUCAAAUGAAUUGACGGGGACCCGCACAAGCAGUGGAUCAUGUGGUUUAAUUCGAUGCAACGCGAAAAACCUUACCUACUCUUGACAUACUUGGAAGCUCUUGUAAUGAGAGUGUGCUUUUAAGAACCAAGAUACAGGUGCUGCAUGGCUGUCGUCAGCUCGUGUCGUGAGAUGUUCCGUUAAGUCGGAUAACGAGCGCAACCCUUACCCUUAUUUGCCAGCGAUUCGGUCGGGAACUAUAAGGGGACUGCCGGUGAUAAACCGGAGGAAGGUGAGGACGACGUCAAGUCAUCAUGGCCCUUACGAGUAGGGCUACACACGUGAUACAAUGGGAGAGACAGACGGACGCUAAGCCGCGAGGUGGUGCUAAUCCUAGAAACUCUCUCGUAGUCCGGAUUGGAGUCUGCAACUCGACUCCAUGAAGUUGGAAUUGCUAGUAAUCGCGGAUCAGCAUGCCGCGGUGAAUACGUUCUCGGGUCUUGUACACACCGCCCGUCACACCAUGGAAGUGGAUUGCACCAGAAGUAGAUAGUCUAACCUUAGGGAGGGCGUUUACCACGGUGUGCUUCAUGACUGGGGUG